UACGGGGGGGGCAAGCGUUGUUCGGAAUUACUGGGCGUAAAGGGUUCGUAGGUGGCUUGCUAAGUCAGACGUGAAAUCCCUCAGCUUAACUGGGGAACUGCGUCUGAUACUGGCGAGCUUGAGUGCAGGAGAGGAACGCGGAAUUCUCGGUGUAGAGGUGAAAUUCGUAGAUAUCGAGAGGAACACCGGUGGCGAAGGCGGCUAUCUGGACAGUGACUGACGCUGAGACGCGAAAGCGUGGGGAGCAAACAGG
RNAcentral lists this ribosomal RNA (253 nucleotides) under uncultured bacterium. RNAcentral's name for it is "partial 16S ribosomal RNA". It matches the Rfam family "Bacterial small subunit ribosomal RNA", at positions 524 to 776 of the family's 1533-position model. The record is from RNAcentral.